Molecule: long non-coding RNA, 1598 nt
Organism: Clupea harengus (Atlantic herring)
Lineage: Eukaryota; Metazoa; Chordata; Actinopteri; Clupeiformes; Clupeidae
Source: Ensembl
AGAACUUUCACAGCAAUACUUAUAUGGUAAUUUCAUCCAUACUAGAAUGUUAUUGAAAUUAAGUUGAAAUGACAUGCCUUGGUUUGAACCUUUUGAACUCACAUUCCAAAAGUUCUUGUUAAUAUUCAGAACAGCCAUGAUGAGUAAUCACCAGGUCUGUUAUUGGCCACUUCCCUGGUUUAUUGUUGUGCAUGGGCCUCACCACAGCGCGCCUUGCUGCAACACUGACUCAGAGACAUUUGGGGGGAAACAACCCCUUGUCUCAGAAUGAACCAUACCAUUGUGUACCAUGAAGUGAAUGUGUAACUGAUUUCACGCUUCAGUGAACAAGCUACAUUUAACCAGACUGCUGGGAGGGCUCACUGCUCAGACAUCAUGUACUGCAGGUGUAUGAAUAUACAUUGCAACAUAUUUCAUCCAUGAUGAUGAAUGUUAAAUAUCUCACUGUUUGCCAGUACUUUGGAAGUACAGUGGACAAUAACAGAUAAAGAUGACCUUUUCCAGGUGCCCAGAGGAUAGGAAGGAACUUCAUUCUCUUUAAAACUGUGCAUUUCCCAGGCAAGUGUCUGCAUGUUUGGCUGGCUCCAUGUAAAGGCCUUCAGCUAAUCGGUCAAACUGCUCCAGAGGCUUUCAUCACUCCAGACACUCACUGCUGUGACGUCCUCAACCAGGACAGAGUGGGAUUGUGGCCGUUGUGGCCGUUGGCGUAGAGAUGCGAGAUGUUGUGCCUCCUCGUCAAGCAAACACAGACGGGUCAGAGACGAGGAGACCCCGAGGCCAGGCAGAAAGGAGACGGAGCAGGAGGGCCCACCCGUGCCUUAUGACCUCACCUUCUGUGAUUUUCCACAUUCAGCUGCCCCACCAAGGGCACUUUAAUUGUCCUCGGGGGGCUGUUUCUCCUCUUCUACUUGCUUUUCUCUCUUUGUGAGGGCUUCCUCUCUGAGUUGGAUUGCACUGAAUCACAUAGAUCAGCUUAAUGUUUAACUGUGCCUCACCCCAUUGUGGCUCCCUGUUCAGCUUUACAGCUCCUUGUGGUAGCGACUCGGUGGACAUGUUGGGUGUGUUACUUGUGGGCCGUGUACAGUACCAUUGGACAUCAGCAUGGUAGGCUCGUGUUGAGGGCUGAACCUUUUACGUGUCAUUUGUAGUUUGACAUAAAAAAUGGCUUUCUGAAUUUUUUUUUAAUUAUCUGUGUACAUUUUUAACAAAUCAGCCCAUACCCAAGUAACAGAACAGGAUGUGCACAAAUAAUCUGCAGACACAGAAGAAAGAAGAUGAAAUCCUAAGUCUGAAACCGAUUCCUGAACAGCCAUGUUUAACUUCCUUGAUGUUCAGUGCUAUUGGGCAGGACUUGGAACAAGGAAGGCUUGACUGAAGCACCAGUUUGUAUCUAUCUAUCCCUCGAGACCAGGUACUCAUUGCCACCUAAAAGUCUACUUCAUAUCUUCCUUACAUUAGCUGCAUCAGGAUGCCAUGAUUCUCCUUCAUCUUUCAUCUCGUGGGUGUGAAGGGGCAUCAGGGUCACAUUCCAGGGCUACUAUUGUUUUCAUCCCCAGUGCCAUUUCUCUCUGACGGUCAAGUAAUACUACUAUAUUCGU